UCAGGAAUCUUGCGCAAUGGGGGAAACCCUGACGCAGCGACGUCGCGUGGAGGAAGACGGCCUUCGGGUUGUAAACUCCUUUUAGCGGGACGAGCAAGGACGGUACCCGCUGAAUAAGCCCCGGCUAACUCCGUGCCAGCAGCCGCGGUAAUACGGAGGGGGCGAGCGUUGUCCGAAUUUAUUGGGCGUAAAGCGCGUGUAGGCGGAUGUCCAAGCCCGGGGUGAAAGGUUGGGGCUCAACCCCAACAGGGCCCUGGGGACUGGACGUCUGGAGGCAGGCAGAGGAGCGUGGAAUUCCUGGUGUAGCGGUGGAAUGCGUAGAGAUCAGGAAGAACACCCGUGGCGAAGGCGGCGCUCUGGGCUUGUACUGACGCAGAGACGCGAAAGCGUGGGGAGCGAACGGGAUUAGAUACCCCGGUAGUCCACGCCGUAAACGAUGGAUGCUCGGUGUCGGGGGUAUCGACCCCCUCGGCGCCCAAGGUAACCCGGUAAGCAUCCCGCCUGGGGAGUACGGCCGCAAGGUUGAAACUCAAAU
Molecule: ribosomal RNA, 535 nt
Filed under: uncultured bacterium
Lineage: Bacteria
Description: bacterial SSU rRNA
Rfam family: Bacterial small subunit ribosomal RNA
Source: RNAcentral